Myotis brandtii (Brandt's bat) is the source of this 58-nucleotide non-coding RNA. The record is from Rfam. NCBI's taxonomy places the organism in Eukaryota, Metazoa, Chordata, Mammalia, Chiroptera, Vespertilionidae.
GGCACUGGUGGUGGCACACCCAGCACUGCUGGGUCAGGGUUCGAGUCCCUGUGGUGUC